GGCCCGUUGGUGAAGUGGUUAACACACUGGUUUUUCACACCAGCAUUCAGGAGUUCGAGUCUCCUACGGGUCA
This is a non-coding RNA of Lingula anatina, 73 nucleotides long. Lineage: Eukaryota; Metazoa; Brachiopoda; Lingulata; Lingulida; Lingulidae. The record is from Rfam.